RNAcentral lists this ribosomal RNA (440 nucleotides) under uncultured Phenylobacterium sp. Its description in RNAcentral is "bacterial SSU rRNA". It matches the Rfam family "Bacterial small subunit ribosomal RNA", at positions 338 to 795 of the family's 1533-position model. Lineage: Bacteria; Pseudomonadati; Pseudomonadota; Alphaproteobacteria; Caulobacterales; Caulobacteraceae. The record is from RNAcentral.
CCUACGGGUGGCAGCAGUAGGGAAUCUUGGGCAAUGGGCGAAAGCCUGACCCAGCCAUGCCGCGUGAAUGAUGAAGGUCUUAGGAUUGUAAAAUUCUUUCACCGGGGACGAUAAUGACGGUACCCGGAGAAGAAGCCCCGGCUAACUUCGUGCCAGCAGCCGCGGUAAUACGAAGGGGGCUAGCGUUGCUCGGAAUUACUGGGCGUAAAGGGCGCGUAGGCGGAUCGUUAAGUUAGAGGUGAAAGCCCAGGGCUCAACCUUGGAACUGCCUUUGAUACUGGCGAUCUGGAGUACGGGAGAGGUGUGUGGAACUCCGAGUGUAGAGGUGAAAUUCGUAGAUAUUCGGAAGAACACCAGUGGCGAAGGCGACACACUGGCCCGUUACUGACGCUGAGGCGCGAAAGCGUGGGGAGCAAACAGGAUUAGAUACCCUAGUAGUC